Molecule: long non-coding RNA, 1699 nt
Organism: Lolium rigidum
Lineage: Eukaryota; Viridiplantae; Streptophyta; Magnoliopsida; Poales; Poaceae
Exons: 4
Source: RefSeq, a predicted model, not a curated record
UAAGCACACACCACACAGGCACGGCGGUAGCAGUCCAAUCCCUGAAUCCCACCGCUCAAUCUGAAUCCCCAUCCUCUGGACGCGCCGGAGCCUUGAGGAGCGGACGGUGCCGGAGCUACAGGAAGCCGCCGCAGCCCUCGCCGUGUAUCGCGCCGCCGGAUGAGGACGUGCUGCAGCGCACGUCGCUGGACGGGUCGUCCGCCGCUAUAGAGCUAGGUCUCCUACCUCAACCCUGCCAAGAUCGAGAAGACCCUGCCAAGAUUGAUAAGGCCAGACAAAGGCCACGGUAUGGCUGUCUUCCCCGGUGAUGCAGUUCAUUGACUACUGCUUUGAGGCACGGAAAGCGAAAACUUUAAAAGGACUGCACAUUAUUUUGGAACAGUGAUUAGGAUUACAACUGCAAGAUACACGCUGAACAUGUUUCAGUGUGAUUUUGGUACUUCGAAAUAGUUUGCAAGACAAGCUUAGUUCAAAAUUCAGUCCACCUGCCGUCAUAAUUCUUUUCAUAGAGGAUGCAUGGCAUGGUUCUGUGUGACGUAGGAGUGGAUCAUCUAAGGUAACAUAGGCUUCCUCAACACUUGCUCCAUCCUAAUUCUUAGUCGCCUUUGCCAUUUCUUUUGUGAUUAUGGUUGAAUUAUAGAAUGUUCAUUUGGCGCCAAAAUGUGCUUGGAGUAUCAAUUUUACUAUCCAACUCAUUUUGGUGCUCAAAAUUUUCUAUUCUACAAUCCCUGGUUUAUGCUGUGUAAACAAGAAGAACGAAGAAUCCAAUAUGUUUCUUCCUUAUCUUUGUUGUCAUGUACCCUGCGUAUUUUACUUUCUAUUUAAAAUUGUAGUAACCUGUUCUUAAUUUAUAUUGAUAAAAAAACUUGCAAAGAUGCACUUACCUGAAUCUGUGGUGUGUUUACAAGCAUAGGCAGUAACCAGAACCUGAAAAAAAACUUUAUACCUUUCAUUGUUUUGUUUAUAAAUAAUCACAUUUAGAGAUUGGUUCCAAGAAGCAACAGGAAAUAUUUUUUAAUGCACAUUGAUACAGACUCAAACAUUCAAUAGCGGGGGUUCUUUCCUAUUGAUUCCUUUGAAUUUUAUUAGAAGUGCUUAUUAAAUUAUACCAGUUUGUGGUGCUUACUUAUAAUUUAUUUCUGAAACCAAUUUGUUUGUCAUUUUUUGUGUUAAACAGCUCCACCUCUUGAGUAUAUUGUGUAUUAUGGCCGAAUUAUGAUCUAUAUCAGGUGAGAAAAGCAGGUUCAGCGAUGUAGAUAAAUUCCAUCGGUGUAUUUCUAUGUUCUUGAAACAAAAAACUUCUAAUUAGUAGUUUAGUUUACCUUACUUAUAAUGACACAAAAAUGCAGAAGACGAGAUGUGUCUAGGGAAGUACAAAUUAUUAGCAUUCAAGAGCUCAUAGUGUUCAAUAUUGUUUGGUGCAUCUAUUGUAUAAACUGACGCAGAUAAGUUUGUAUGUAUGUUCAUCCAAUAAAAAAAUGAGAUUACUGAUGUUUUUUCGUAUUUUUUGCAUGUGUUGUAUGGACUGAUAUCUCAGUAUGGCCUUUAUGAUUAAUUGCAGUGCACCUGGAAUCUUGAGUAUAUUAUGUAUUAUGGCUGAAUUAUGAUCUAUAUCAGUGCACUUGUAAUCGUAACUAAUGGUGCGCUCUACUUCUCCACAUGAUUUCGGUGCAUCUACCAUGGUGUUAGAGCAUCCACG